Molecule: ribosomal RNA, 341 nt
Filed under: Bacillus sp. (in: firmicutes)
Lineage: Bacteria; Bacillati; Bacillota; Bacilli; Caryophanales; Bacillaceae
Description: bacterial SSU rRNA
Rfam family: Bacterial small subunit ribosomal RNA
Source: RNAcentral
GCAGUCGAGCGGACAGAAGGGAGCUUGCUCCCGGAUGUUAGCGGCGGACGGGUGAGUAACACGUGGGUAACCUGCCUGUAAGACUGGGAUAACUCCGGGAAACCGGAGCUAAUACCGGAUAGUUCCUUGAACCGCAUGGUUCAAGGAUGAAAGACGGUUUCGGCUGUCACUUACAGAUGGACCCGCGGCGCAUUAGCUAGUUGGUGGGGUAAUGGCUCACCAAGGCGACGAUGCGUAGCCGACCUGAGAGGGUGAUCGGCCACACUGGGACUGAGACACGGCCCAGACUCCUACGGGAGGCAGCAGUAGGGAAUCUUCCGCAAUGGACGAAAGUCUGACGG